AUAUUUAUCUGGCAGGGGAGAUACCAUGAUCACAAAGGUGGUUUUCCCAGGGCAGGCUCAUCCAUUGCACUCCAAAUGUGCUGACCCCUGCAAUUUCCUCAAAUGUAGGAAACUCAAUUGCAUAAUGUGUAGCAGUGGGAGACUGCGUUCAUGCUUUCCCUUG
Nomascus leucogenys (northern white-cheeked gibbon) is the source of this 163-nucleotide small nuclear RNA. Its record names the gene U1. It matches the Rfam family "U1 spliceosomal RNA". Rfam says of the family: U1 is a small nuclear RNA (snRNA) component of the spliceosome (involved in pre-mRNA splicing). NCBI's taxonomy places the organism in Eukaryota, Metazoa, Chordata, Mammalia, Primates, Hylobatidae. The record is from Ensembl.